UACAGAGGUCCCGAGCGUUGUUCGGAUUCACUGGGCGUAAAGGGUGCGUAGGUGGCGAGGUAAGUCGGAUGUGAAAGCUCGGAGCUCAACUCCGAAAUGGCAUUGGAAACUACCUUGCUCGAGGGUUAGGAGGGGGACUGGGAAUACGUUGUGUAGCAGUGAAAUGCGUAGAUAUCAAGUGGAACACCAGGUGGCGAAGGCGGGACUC
RNAcentral lists this ribosomal RNA (208 nucleotides) under uncultured bacterium. RNAcentral describes it as "partial 16S ribosomal RNA". It matches the Rfam family "Bacterial small subunit ribosomal RNA", at positions 524 to 729 of the family's 1533-position model. The record is from RNAcentral.